UCUCCCUUCUGGCCGUUUCUUCUCGCUCCUCUCCGCGACUCACCACUUUGGUCGGCGACGAGUUCGUCGUUUCCGGCAACUACAAGCCAACAAACCACCGGAAAGAAACCCUCUCCUUACAUUCAAUAUAACCCUUAAAUCUAUUUCUAAAAAUUCUCAUCCAUUUUUAUUUAUUAAGUUGGUGCCCAAGGCGAACCGUUUCCGGCUGAACGCCGACGAAUUGGACCUCACCGUUACAACCAAUCGUCUACCCUUCAUCUCAGAAAUCAAAAUCACCCGUUGCAUGCCUCGAUUCAUUACGGUUUAAGGUGAAUCAAAGGUGGUACUCGGAGAAGUUUGUGAAGGGCCAAUGGGAAAAGGGGAUUGCAUUUCAGAUUGGCAGAAAUACAAAGCCUGCCUCUCUAGAUUGUAUUAAUUUUCCUUUGACUAGGAAUUUGGGGUUUCUCAGAGUUUUCAUUCGCCGGACAAUGAUAGGCGAAUCACCAUAAGAAGCAGCAAUUCUGUUGCAAACUGAAUCCGGGAUGACUAACCUAGAGUCUCAACCAAUUGAAAACUCUUGCAGAGGAAGACUCAGAAAAGAAAACCCCUCUACAUAAUGAAGAUAGAGAUGAGCUCGAGAAUAAUGUAGGAAAAUCUACAUCCCAGUAACAUGUUCAUAAUCGAUGGACAAUAUUUCGAGCGAUGAGCGGUUGAAUAAUUCCAAUCUUUUGAUCUGUGUAACAUGGUGCUAAGUUAGCCUCCUCAAACAGUAGAUAUGUAUAUAUGUAAAUAGCACAAGACUUACUAUAACAUGAAAAGCAGCAUAUAAAGUAUGUUAUAAAUGUAAACAACACCGUAAAUAGUAUCAGCUUUUGUAAUUGACACUAAAAAAAUAUCA
Malus domestica (apple) is the source of this 877-nucleotide non-coding RNA. The record is from RefSeq and is a predicted model, not a curated record. NCBI's taxonomy places the organism in Eukaryota, Viridiplantae, Streptophyta, Magnoliopsida, Rosales, Rosaceae.